Marmota monax (woodchuck) is the source of this 10004-nucleotide long non-coding RNA. RefSeq lists it as uncharacterized. The record is from RefSeq and is a predicted model, not a curated record. The transcript has 3 exons. Lineage: Eukaryota; Metazoa; Chordata; Mammalia; Rodentia; Sciuridae.
UUUUAUGUUAAAUUUGAGGUGAUGCACAAGUUUGAACUUAUUUUUGUGUAAAUUGUGAAGCUCAUUUCUCCAUUCAUUUUAUUCUACAUAGUCAUCUAGUGAUUUCAUCACUAUUUGUGGAAUCUUUAAACAGCUCUUACUCCUUGGACAAAGCCAGUUGAGUAUAUCUACGUUGAUGUAUUCAGGGGCUCUCUGUUCUGUGGAGUUUAUCAAUGUGCCCAUUUCUUCACUAAUAUUACACUCUCCAUUGUUGUAGAUUUAUAAAUCUUGGAAUCUAGGUGUGGAAGUUCUUCAACUUUGUUUCUCUUCAGUCUUCUGUCAUCUACUCUAGGUUCUAAAACACUUUGUUGAUCUCCUUUCCCGGAAUUUUUUUUUAAGAUUGUGCUGAAUCUGUAGAUUCAUUCUGGUGGAACUACCAUCUUAAUAUUGAGUCAACCAAUCCUGAAAACCAGUAUCUCUCCAAUUAUUCUAGUUUUUCUUUAUUUCAUUUAACUAUGUUUCAAGGUUUCAGCAAUAAUGAUGUCUAUUUUAUUCUGUGUUUCAAGGUUUUCUGGAUGCAUAUUUAUACAUCUUUUCUUAGGUUUAUACCUAAAGACUUGAAGUUGGGAUAUUUCGUCAUAAUUUUUUUUUUAUUUCAAAUUCCAAUUGUAAAAUUAGGAAAUCAAUUGACUUGUAUUAUUGGUCUUUUACUUUGCUUCUGGUUAUCUCCGUUCAUUUCAGAUCAAGGUAAGAGAUAGGUCCAUUUCAAUUUGAAUUUCAGAAAUCGUGGCAUUGUAUAAUUCUUACCCAACAUUUCAGUGAUGCGGUGGGACUCUUGUGAAGCCGUGAACUCAGUGCGUGAGGCACUGCGCCCUGGGACCGGCAGGGGGAGCCAGAACCCGCUUUUCUGACCUGUGUAUUGCGCGUGCGUAUUUCGCUUACGGAAGUCCUCUUGGUCAGACUCAGUCCUCGCCUCACUUGGGCCGCGUCCGCCGCGAAGGAGAGGCUCGCUUCCCUCGUGUCCUUUGCAGAUGGCUGAAGCGGGGUUCUUUGCCGCACUUCUCCCGGAAGUUUUUCUGAAAUAGGAAGUAGGGAAGUUCUCGUUUGCUGGCGUGUUCUCGUGAAGUUUGUUCUUCACUGUUAAGAAGACACUUUUUAAACAUGUUAUUAAAAGCGUCCUCUCGUUGAGGCUUUGCCUGUGGGUUUACAAGUUUGGGUUCGUUAUUUCGGAGAGUUCCCCAGGCGGGGGCGACGGGGCGACGAGGGAGCGGCGGCGGGGACGGCGCCCUCUGCCCUCCUGGGUGGCGGGUGGCGGGUGGCGGCCCGGCUUCCCGGGGUGGUCCCAAGCGCAAGACUUAGAAAAGAGCGACACUCCUUCAACUGUUACUACGAAAUGUGCGACACUCCUUCAACCGUUACUACGAAAUGUGCGACACUCCUUCAACCGUUACUACGGAAUGUGCGACACUCCUUCAACCGUUACUACGAAAUGUGCGACACUCCUUCAACCGUUACUACGAAAUGUGAGACACUCCUUCAACUGUUACUACGAAACCGAAACUUAACAUUUCACUUUCCUGGCUUAAUGGAAGCGAAUACAUCAAGAAUAUUUAUUUCCGUUGAAGAAAGUCCCAGUUUGACGUAUAACAAUGAAGUAACAGGUAUUUUUUUACAAGGAUUAGCAUCUUAGGUGAAAUAGGUUAACCAUAUUAACUUUUCAUAUUAAACCACAAAAUGAAGAGAGGUUUGGUUGUUUGGUUUUGGUUUUGUUCCUAGACUUUGGUCAUUUAUAAUAAAUUCAGAAUUAACUAAAGGUCAAUUAACCCUGAGUUCUUCUUCUUCUUCUUCUUUUUUUUUUUAAGUAUUUCCCAUCUUUAUUUUUUUUAUUUGUUUUAAUUAGUUACACAUGACAGUACAAUGAUCUUGACAUAUCAUAUGUUUUUUUUUUUUUUUUUAAUUUUAAUAUUUAUUUUUUAGUUAUUGGCGGACACAACAUCUUUGUUUGUACGUGGUGCUGAGGAUCGAACCCGGGCCGCACGCAUGGCAGGCGAGCGCGCUACCGCUUGAGCCACAUCCCCAGCCCACAUAUCAUAUGUUUGAAUCAGAUGGGGUCUAAUUUCUCAUUUUUCUGAGUGUACAGGUUGCAGAAUCACAUUGGUCAUGCAAUCACGAAUAUACCCACAGCGAUAAUAAUGUCUAUUUUAUUCUGCUGUCCUUCCAUUCCCCUGUUUCCCUCCCCUCCCAUCACUUCUCUCUACACAAUCUAAUGUGACACACUUCUUUUUUUCCCCUCACAUCGUCAUACAUGUAUUCUGUAUAACCAUGAGAGUCUCCUUCCAUCUUCCAUGCAAUUCCCCUUCUCCCUCCCUUUCUCUCCCACCUCUCUUCCUUAUCUAGAGGUAAUCAGCUUCUCAUGCUCUUCCUCCCUAACCCUGAGUUCUUAAUGCUACUUUUUGUUUGCAUUAUUUAUGUUUUCCUUACUUCAGGGUCCAUUUUGCUGGUUUACAUUUUCUAGGAAAUUACAUAAUUUCUGUAGGUUUACAGUUUUAUUGUACGUUUAUUGGAAAUGUUCGUCUCUCCUAUAUUUGUACUUUUAUACAAAAAUAAUUUUCUUUUUCCUACUGGGAUUGAACUCACUGGUGCUUUAUCCCUGAGCCACAUCCCCAGCCUUUUUAUGUUUUAUUUUGAGAAUGGGUCUAGCUAAAUUGAUGAGGCUGGCUUUGAACUUGCCUCAGCCUCCAGAGUUGCUGGGAUUACAGAUGUGUGCCAGCAAACCUGGCUUUUAUACAGUAUUCUUAAUCUUAUCUAUGUUUUUCUUUUCUCUCUUUUCUAUUUUUAGUCAACUGUAGUGUUAAAAUAUGCAUAUUACACUGUUUCAAAUGACAUAAUUGCUAUUUGGCAAUUCUUAUGAUCCACUCAUUGUUAUUGUUUCUUAUCAGUUACUGAUGUGUUUGUGUGUGUGUGUGUGUGUGUGUGUGAUUACUAACACAAUAACAGUAUUUUUAUCAGUUAUCAUACUAGUACAAUCAGUACCAAUAACUGAUUUUAUUUUUAUUUAUAUAUAAUGGAAUUUCUAUUAUCAAUAAAUAAGCUCGUGUAUUUAUAUGUAAAUAUACAAACUACUACACACACGUGUGUGUAUUACAAUGUGUACAUAUACAUAUAUAUUAUGUAUAUAUAGUAUACACACAUACAUAUACAAUAUUGGUAGCUAGCUAUAUCAUUUACAGGUAUUGUAACCAUUAACUAUUAUAAGCAAGAAGUCAUCAUUUUGAGGAAGGGAAUCUAAAGGCUUUCUAUACCUGCCAUAUUUGUGCAUUGUCAUAUCGAUAGUGAGAAGCAUUAUUAGGUCAUUAUGUUUCUAACUUGUUGAUAAUAUCCCGAGCUAGACCAUGUCCAUUUCUUCUUUAAUUUGAAUAAAGUCAAUAAAGCUUCUUCUAUUUUAUGACAGUGUAGUUAAUGUGAACAUACUUUGUGAUAUUAUACAUUUGCCAACAAUGGGCAAUGGCUGUUGUAGAAAUUUAAAGGUAAAGAAAACUGUGUUAUUUCUGGUUUUGAUAAUUGUAUUUCAGGUUUAACAUGAUUUCCUAGGAGCAUUAUAAAUUUCUUUUGGAUUUUAUUAUACAAAUAAGUCACAUAUCCCUUUUUUAUCAUUAGCUAUAUGACUAGCUAAAUCAAUAUUAUUCAUUCAAUUAAAAUUAGAAGCAUUCUAUUGUUUGUGCCUCCAAAAUAAUAACUCAAAGAGGUAAUAUUUUCCCCACAGAAUAAAACGUCUAAAACCAUUCAAAAUAUCCUUCCAUUUUUUUCUCUGAUUACUUUCUGUAGAGCGUCAUCAAGUAAAUUAUCAAUCUGAGUGCCUUUGGAAUGCUUCUGUUUUAGCAAACAUUUCAGUGAAACAUCAUAUCAUCAUGUCAUGAAUUCUGUUCAUAUUCUCCUAAUCUUUGAAUGUUUUUUCCAGUGGCAAAUAUUUGCAUUACUACAACUAAAAUAUAUACAUGGAAACACAAUAAAGAAUGUUUUGGAAUAAGUGACCCAGUCACAAUGAAGCAAUUCACCAUUGGAGCUUUUUUUAAUAAAGCCAGUAUUUUGAAAAUGUUCAGCCAUGAAGUAAUGUAGAGUAUCUAAAGGCUACACCUUUUCCUGGUGAAAUGUCACUUACUUUUUAGAAUAUGAGCCCAGGACACAGCAACACAUCAAUAAAAAGUAACAAUAAUAUAAUGAAUAAUUAUACACCUAAGCCAUAAAAUAAGUGAUACCUGAAAUUCUACAAAGAUGGGCUAUAUUCUUUAUUUUUCAGUGUGCUCUUUUAAAAAAAAGUACAGCCAGUUAUCAUUGUCAGUUAUUAAUGACUAACACUAAACGUACACACAUUUGAAAACAAAAUGUUUUAAUAAAUUUUUAUUUCAGAACAAUGUAAGAUUUACACAAAAUUUGAAGAGAAUAGUAUAGAGACUUCCCAGAGCCCCCUCUUAUUAACAUCGUAAAUCAGUGUGGUACAUUUGUCACAAUUAGUGAACAAAUACUAAUUAUCACCACCUGAAGUUCAUAUUUUAUUUAGAUUUGCCAAUUUCCCUGUUCCAGAUUCCCAACCAGGACACCAGCUUACAUUUACUAGUGAUAUGUUUCAGCUCUUCUGGCUAUCACAGAUUUUUAGGCUUUCAUAUUUUUGAUGAUCUUAAUAAUGUUUAUACUGGUCAAGUUGGAUAAAGUUCCCCAUUUGAGAUUUCCUUGAUGUUUUCCUCAUAAUUUAGUUGGGCUUAUUGGUUCUGGAAAAGAUUAGAGGUAGGGUGCUGUUCUCACACUUGAUAUCAUACAUAUGUGCUCUAUAGAUGGUUUUUCCCUGUUAAUGUUAACUAUGACCACUUGGAUAAGGUUGUUUGUCAGGUUUCUCCUCCAGGAAUUUGCAUUUUGCCCCAUCUAUGCUUGAUGUAGUCUUUAGGAAGAAAUCCUUAUGCACACCCCACAUCUAAGAAGUUGGCAGUUAGCUUCAUCUCGAUGACUAUCUGCAUUAUUUGGGGAGAAUUCCUCUAAAUAGGAGCUUUCUAUUUACUCCAACUCGUUCAUCCAGUAUGGACACCUGGAUAGUUAUCUUAAGCUUUUGGUUAUAAUUCAGUACUAUGUUAUUUAUUUCUAUUGUUCCUGCUUUAGCCAUUGGGGAAUCUUGCCAGUAGCUUUCUUUUCUUUGACAAAAUCCCAUCUUGGUGGGUUUUAUUUUGUUGGACACUUUCUUUCUUUCUGGCACUUUAAUUUUAUCUAGUUUUGUAUUUUGAUGCCCCAGUUCUAGUGUCAUCCAUUUCUCUGAGGACCUCUGCCUUCUUUUAUUGGAAAAUGGUAUUAAAAACCUAAAUUUGAAACUCCUCUUAGAUCCAUAGAGAAGUAAGGUUAUAAGGACAAACCUCAGCCCCUAAAGUUGAAGACAUCCACAGUUAAAUAGAGAAAAACACAACUUACUAAGCAGAAAUCCACCAACAGAACCUCCAUGGUAAUCAGUGCUAAGAAACCCAAGCAGUAAUUGAUGAAUUGCUAGAGGCUUAGUUUGGACAAGUAUGAGAGAUAAAGUCUCCAGGAGGGAGCUUCACUUUCAAUGAGUUUACCUCCCAAAGCUCUACCAGGUUCUUAUAAAUGAAUAUUAGUGAAAAAUACCCUUGUGCUUCCCACAAAAGAAAAGGACCAUUUUAAAAUAUGCCAGACUGUUCUACUCUUAACAAGAUUUGUCCUCAAAAAAAACUUUUUACCAUCUUUAUUGAGAUGUAAUUGACAAAUGAAAAUUGUGUACAUAAAGUGUACUAUGUGAUGAUUUGAUAUACAUAGACUUUGUGAAAUGAUCACUGUAAUCAAGCUAGUUAGUACAUCUAUUACCUUUGUGUAAGGAUGAGGUAAGAACACUUAAUAUAUAUUCUCUUAGUAAAUUUGAGUAUACAGUAUGGUGUUAACUACAGUCACUAUGCUAUAUAUUAAAUACCCAGAACUUGUCUUAUAACUGGAAAUUUAUCUCCUUAUGGCCAAUAUCCCCCCAUUUUCCCCAUUCAGUCUUUCUAGGACCUCCAUCAAAGGGUUGUAAUCUAAUCCCUAUUCAUGACUCAUUUUCAUUAUUUUUCCAGGCACUACCUCUAAUUAUUAGCAUCAUCUUAUAAAGUAUUUUACUGUUGGAAAAUGCUUUCAUGCAUAAAUUAUCAUGUUGAUAUGUUCCUGCUCAAGAAGGUUAGGAGAUGACAGUAAAUGUCACAUGGGCCCAGUGGGUAAGUCUCAACACUGAUGUACUUAUCCAAAUGUCCAGAACAGCACCACACAACACUCCACUCUCCACCCUCAUCCAUGAUCCUUCAGAGCACUUACAGCUACUUAAAGAUUUUUUUCCUUGUUUACUUAUAUCUAGUGUGUCACUCACUAGAAUACAGUGUUCCUGACCACAAUUUCAUGUCUUCCUUACUACUUGAGCUUCAACAGGGAGAACACUGAGUGCUGGAGACUUGGUGACUAUUUUUUGAAUGAAUACAUUUGUGGAUUAAAUUUUUACUAACUGGCAAUUCUGUUCUAAGCACUAGGCUAGGGUUUGAGUAGUAAAAACAGGCAUUUUGUUUUUCAUUUGUUUGCUUUUUGUUUUUCCCAGAAUAAAAGCUUGUUUGUUCUGAUUAAGCUUAUGUUUAUUAGAUUAAUUAUGAGAAUAAAGUACAAGAUACUGUGGAAACAUUUCGUAUUUCACUGAGCACUCACAUUUAUUUUCACAAAAGAAAUAAUAGGAAAAAAAUUACACGAAUGGCAUACUAAAAUCACAGUCAUUUUUUUAAAAUUAAAGAACAUGGAAGAACUCACCAUUAUAAAUGUAAUAAAUAUGUAAAAAGCCUUCAGUCAUAGUUUUAAACUUCAUGAACACUAGAGAACUCACAUGGAGGAGAAAUUCUAUAUAUUAUAUGAGUGUGGAGAUGCCUUCAUUCCUAAUGUAUCCUUUCAACAACAGAAGUCAACUAAACUAGGGAGAAACCGUGGAUCUAUGGUCACCAUGGGCAAGUAUUGUGUAAAAAUCCAGCCUUGACAUCCACAAAUAAACUCAGAGGAGGGGCAGCCCUGAAAGAGGAAACUCUGAAUCAUGAAAAGAGAGCUUCCUGAAUGUUAUGUGGAAAUAAUGGGAAAUGUGUUGUAAUUAUCUGCAAUCAAAGCAUAUGUAUAGAUGAAAAUCUAAUAAAAAUAAUUACUUUCUAUUAGUAUGUGCUAAUAUUUUUAAAGAAUAUAUCUGGUAUUUGUUUCUGGUUCCUGCAGAGUUUCAAAUCUUUUGGAAUUUCCUGAGUGACAGGAGUAUAUUUAUUGUACUAAUGAGAAAUAUAAUUCCUUAAAAAAUAAUGUGUACCUGGUGCUUCAAGAUGAUAGACAUUAUCUACAGAACAGAUACAAAUGAACUUAACAAUGGACUCCAGGUAUGUUUUCACCAAAUUCAAAUCUUCAAUGAAAACUACAGAACCCUACAGAGAGAAAUCAAAGAAGACCUUAGAAGAUGGAAAGAUCUACCUUGCUCAUGGAUAAAAAAUUAAUUUUAAUGAUGUCAAAUAUUAUUUUUAUUUCAUGGAUAUUGUUUUUCAUAAAUAAAUAUUGUUUUUCAACACCUAAAUACUCAAAACCAAACUCAAGGUUACCAAAUUUUUCUUUUGUUACCUUACAGGAUUUUUAUAGUUUUGCAUUUUACAGUUAGGCAUAUAAUCCAUUUUGAGUGAAUUUUUGAGAAAAGUAUAAAAACCUCAGUCUAAAUUUUUUAGUUGAUAUCCAGUUGUUCCAGUACCAAUUGUUUAAAACAAUAUUCUUACUCUGUUAAAUUGCCUUUGCUCCUUCGCAAAUGUCAGUUGACUAUAUUUGUAUCUAUUUCUGAUUCUCAAUUUGAUUUCAGUGACCUAUUUCUUUAUUCUUUUGCUAAUACCACACUAUUCAAUUAUUACCUUUAUAGUAAGUCUUGAAGUCAGAUAGUAUCAGUCCUCUGGCUUUGCCUUUAAUAAAUACUUGUUGGCUAUUCUGGGUCUUUGCCAGUAUCUAUAUAAACUGAACAAUCAAUUUGUAAAUAUCUGCAAAACAAUUUCCUGGGAUUUUAAUUAGUAUUAUCUUGGAUCUAUAAAUUAAGUUGGGUGAACUAACAUAUUAACAAUAUUAAAUCUCCCUAUUCAUAAAUAUAAAAAUCUCUAUUCAAAUAUUUGUAGUUUUUCUCAUACACAUUUUGUAAAUGUUUUGUUAGAUUUAUUUAGAAGUACUUUUGUUGCAUUGUAUUUUAAAUUUCAAAUUCCAAUUGUUCAUUACUGACAUGUAGAAAACAACUGACUUUUAUACAUUAAUCCUCUGUCCUACAUUCUAGCUCUAAUCACUUAACAAUUCCAGAAUUACUUUUCUUAAUGCUCUGGGAUUUUCUAAAAAGACAAUUAUGUCCUCAAUGAAGAUAUUUGUGUUUUCUGCUGUUGUUCUGGUUCCUUCUCAAUCAAUAACCUAUAUUUUAUCUUUUAUUUUUUCCCCCAGGGAUUGAAUCCAGGGGUGCUUAACCACUGAGCCACAUCCCGAGCCCUUUUUUUAAUUUUUUAUUUUGAGGCAGGGUCUUACUAAUUGGCUUAGGUCCUCACUAAGUUGUUGAGGUUGGCCUCAAACUUGCAAUCCUCCUGCCUCAGCCUCCCAAGCUGCUGGGAUUACAGGCAUGCACCACCAUGCCCGGCUAGGGGUGUGUGUCUGUGUGUGUGUGUGUGUGGGGGGGUGUCUGUGUGAGCAUAUUAUGCUUUGUUAUAUUAUGUAUAAUAUGGAUAUAUAUUAUGCUUUUUAUCAAGUUAAGCAAGUUCCCUUCUAUUCCUAGUUUUUAUCAUGAAAAUGCAUUGGAUUUUGUCAAAUACUUCCAUGUUUACUGAUGAUGAACAUGUGUUUUUUCGUCUAUUGACAUGCUGGAUUACCUUAAUUGAUUUUCAAAUUUUGAUCUAGACUUGAAUACCUGGGAUACAUCUCACUUGGUCAUCAUAUAUACCUUUUUAAUUUUCACUUUGUUGGUUCAAGUUACUAAUAUUUUGUGGAGAACUUUGCAUCUAUAUCCAUGAGACAUAUUGGUCUAUGGUUUUCUUGUAAUGUGUUCAUUUUCAGCAUUUGUGUAAUUUUGCCCCCCCCCCAAAAUAAGUUAGGAAGUGUUUCCUCUGCUUCUAUUUUCUGGAAGACAUUGUGGAAAACUGGUAGAAUUUCUUAAAUGAUUGGUUGAAGUUGCCCAUGAAACAAUCUGUACUUCCUGCUUUCAUUUCUGGAAAGUUUCUAAUUAGUGAUUUGUCAUUUUAAAUAGAGAUAUCCCUUUUCAAGUUCUCUCUUUAAUCUUGGAUGAGUUUUUUGUAGAUUGUGUCCUUCAUAAAAUUGACUCAUUUAAUCUAGAUCAUCAAAUUUAUAAGCAACAAAUUGUUCAGAAUAUUCCAUUACUAUCCUUUAGAUUUCACUUAAAUGUCUGGCUCCACUUCCAUUGAUGAUAUUAGUCAUUUGUGUCUUUAUUCUUUUUCUUGGUUAGACAGACUAAAGAUUUAUCAGCUUGGGUUUGGGGUGUAACCCAGUGGCAGAGUACUUGCCUACCAUGCAUGAUGCUGUGAGUUCAGCACUACAAAAAAAAAUCAAUUUUAUUGGGUUUUAUUUAGACUUUAUGUACCUUGUGUGGUUUCCAUUCUAUUUGUUAUUUUGUAUUUGUUGAGAUUUGUUUUAUGGUAUAAAAUGUUAUUUACUUUGAUGAAUACUCCAUGUGAACUUGAGAAGAAUAUGUAAUUUCCUAUUGAUGGAUACUCUGUAGAUAUCAGAUUCAUUAGAUUGAUGGUGCUGUCAAGAUUUAUUAUAUCUUUACUGGUUUAAUGCUGCUGAAUCUUUCCAUUUCUGGUGGAGGGGUGUUAAAUUCUUCAACUACUAUAGUAGAUUCUUACUAUAAUAGUGAUAUUUCUACUAAAAUGGUGAUUCCAACUAUUAUAAUGAUAUCAGUUUUUGUUACAUGUUUGUAAGCUUUGUUGCGAUUCACAUUCAUUCACAUUAAAGAUUGUCAUGUCUUUUUG